GACGGGGAGGGAUAGGAGAGAGGCUUCGCUUCACAAACCCCCCCUAAGGCAGCUGAUCCUGGUGUUCCAGCAGCACUUAUGGAAACAGCUAGCUGGGCCGACAGGAAAGAGCAAGAAUAAAAAAUCCCGGGGUGGUAGCAAGGUGUAGCAGAAGCUGCGGAGCUGACGGGGAUAGGUGACCGGAGCAGGCAAGGAUAGGUCUCUUGUUUAGUGAGGUAGGGUGUUAAUAAGGUCUCCGUCCAAUGGCUGCUCUUAUGAGCAAAGGCUCACCCACAGAAAGGACGAGGCAGUACAGGACUGGGCUCCAGCAGUGACUGGGAAUUCUCUUCACAGUAAUCCACAGCUUGCCUGUCCUCCAAAACCCAAAGCAAGACCCCCUGCAGCUCCUCCAGCCCCGUCUUUUGCCUGUCCAAAUCUCCAGGUAUCCCCUCCCCUAUCCCCUGAGUCUAGCCACUCUUGUUUUUCUUAGGUACCCAGAAGUACCCAAUAGUUAGUUUUCUAGCAACUUGUGGGAAAAAAUUCUGUAAGUACGAAAGAAAAAACCAAAACCAACGCCCAACAAUGUCUAGAUGUUCAAUAAACACAAGACAUGCGGUGUGUCACAGGAAGUAUCAACAGAUGGGAAAUACAGAGUAAGCAGAGAAAAGGUUGCAGCAGCUGAUCUACACUGGAGAUCUACAAGGA
Non-coding RNA from Cyanistes caeruleus (blue tit), 684 nucleotides. The record is from RefSeq and is a predicted model, not a curated record. NCBI's taxonomy places the organism in Eukaryota, Metazoa, Chordata, Aves, Passeriformes, Paridae.